AGCAGCCGCGGUAAUUCCAGCUCCAAUAGCGUAUAUUAAAGUUGUUGCAGUUAAAAAGCUCGUAGUUGAAUUUCGGGAUCAAUGCGUCGGUCGUGCUUUCGGGUACGUACUGGUGUCAUUGGUUUCUCCUUUCUGACGAGCCGUGAUGUCAUUAAUUUGGUGUUACGGGUAGUUAGGACUGUUACUUUGAAAAAAUUAGAGUGUUUAAAGCAGGCAUUAGCUUGAAUACAUUAGCAUGGAAUAAUGAAAUAGGACGUUCGAUCCUAUUUUGUUGGUUUCUAGGAUCAACGUAAUGAUUAAUAGGGAUAGUUGGGGGCAUUAGUAUUCAAUUGUCAGAGGUGAAAUUCUUGGAUUUAUUGAAGACUAACUACUGCGAAAGCAUUUGCCAAGGAUGUUUCCAUUAAUCAAGAACGAAAGUUAGGGGAUCGAAGACGAUCAGAUACCGUCGUAGUCUUAACCAUAAACUAUGCCGACUAGGGAUCGGAUGAUGUUAAUUUUUUAAUGACUCAUUCGGCGCCUU
RNAcentral lists this unclassified non-coding RNA (520 nucleotides) under uncultured Glomus. RNAcentral's name for it is "SSU rRNA". It matches the Rfam family "Eukaryotic small subunit ribosomal RNA", at positions 569 to 1089 of the family's 1831-position model. The record is from RNAcentral. Lineage: Eukaryota; Fungi; Glomeromycota; Glomeromycetes; Glomerales; Glomeraceae.